RNAcentral lists this ribosomal RNA (209 nucleotides) under uncultured bacterium. Its description in RNAcentral is "partial 16S ribosomal RNA". It matches the Rfam family "Bacterial small subunit ribosomal RNA", at positions 524 to 733 of the family's 1533-position model. The record is from RNAcentral.
UACGUAGGGGGCGAGCGUUGUCCGGAGUACUGGGCGUAAAGCGCACGCAGGCGGUCUGCUAAGUUUGGAGUGACAGUUGGUGGCUUAACUGCCAAAGUGCUUCGAAAACUGACAGACUUGAGGGCUUCAGAGGGACACGGAAUUCCGGGUGGAGUGGUGAAAUGCGUAGAGAUCCGGAGGAACACCAAAGGCGAAGGCAGUGUCCUGGG